GUAGAGAGAAGCUUGCUUCUNUGAGAGCGGCGGACGGGUGAGUAAAGCCUAGGAAUCUGCCUGGUAGUGGGGGAUAACGUUCGGGAACGGACGCUAAUACCGCAUACGUCCUACGGGAGAAAGCAGGGGACUUUCGGGCCUUGCGCUAUCAGAUGAGCCUAGGUCGGAUUAGCUAGUUGGUGAGGUAAUGGCUCACCAAGGCGACGAUCCGUAACUGGUCUGAGAGGAUGAUCAGUCACACUGGAACUGAGACACGGUCCAGACUCCUACGGGAGGCAGCAGUGGGGAAUAUUGGACAAUGGGCGAAAGCCUGAUCCAGCCAUGCCGCGUGUGUGAAGAAGGUCUUCGGAUUGUAAAGCACUUUAAGUUGGGAGGAAGGACAUUAACCUAAUACGUUAGUGUUUUGACGUUACCGACAGAAUAAGCACCGGCUAACUCUGUGCCAGCAGCCGCGGUAAUACAGAGGGUGCAAGCGUUAAUCGGAAUUACUGGGCGUAAAGCGCGCGUAGGUGGUUUGUUAAGUUGGAUGUGAAAUCCCCGGGCUCAACCUGGGAACUGCAUUCAAAACUGACUGACUAGAGUGUGGUAGAGGGUGGUGGAAUUUCCUGUGUAGCGGUGAAAUGCGUAGAUAUAGGAAGGAACACCAGUGGCGAAGGCGACCACCUGGACCAACACUGACACUGAGGUGCGAAAGCGUGGGGAGCAAACAGGAUUAGAUACCCUGGUAGUCCACGCCGUAAACGAUGUCAACUAGCCGUUGGAAGCCUUGAGCUUUUAGUGGCGCAGCUAAC
RNAcentral lists this ribosomal RNA (791 nucleotides) under uncultured Pseudomonas sp. Its description in RNAcentral is "bacterial SSU rRNA". It matches the Rfam family "Bacterial small subunit ribosomal RNA", at positions 68 to 856 of the family's 1533-position model. Lineage: Bacteria; Pseudomonadati; Pseudomonadota; Gammaproteobacteria; Pseudomonadales; Pseudomonadaceae. The record is from RNAcentral.